GAUGAACGCUGGCGGCGUGCCUAAUACAUGCAAGUCGAGCGAAUGGAUUAAGAGCUUGCUCUUAUGAAGUUAGCGGCGGACGGGUGAGUAACACGUGGGUAACCUGCCCAUAAGACUGGGAUAACUCCGGGAAACCGGGGCUAAUCCCGGAUAACAUUUUGAACCGCAUGGUUCGAAAUUGAAAGGCGGCUUCGGCUGUCACUUAUGGAUGGACCCGCGUCGCAUUAGCUAGUUGGUGAGGUAACGGCGCACCAAGGCAACGAUGCGUAGCCGACCUGAGAGGGUGAUCGGCCACACUGGGACUGAGACCCGGCCCAGCCUCCUACGGGAGGCAGCAGUAGGGAAUGUUCCGCAAUGGACGAAAGUCUGACGGAGCAACGCCGCGUGAGUGAUGAAGGCUUUCGGGUCGUAAAACUCUGUUGUUAGGGAAGAACAAGUGCUAGUUGAAUAAGCUGGCACCUUGACGGUACCUAACCAGAAAGCCACGGCUAACUACGUGCCAGCCGCCGCCGUAA
This 515-nucleotide ribosomal RNA is filed under the name uncultured bacterium. RNAcentral's name for it is "partial 16S ribosomal RNA". It matches the Rfam family "Bacterial small subunit ribosomal RNA", at positions 28 to 523 of the family's 1533-position model. The record is from RNAcentral.